ACGUGUUCCGAGAGAUUUCCCGGUCUUGCUGACCAUUUAUGUGUUAAUGAAGGGGACGUGAAUGUGAUGCAUUCUUGUGGGGGAGGAAUUCACGUGGGUUAUAACUCCUUAGAAAUUAUACGAAAAAUAUUAAUAUUAUACAGUGGUAUAGGUUAGGUCAUUCUUGAUGCUCUUAAAUGUCAGCUCACAAUCAUGCACCCAUUCUAUCUUGGCGCAAGACAGUUUAGUUGUACACCUCACUGUUUACCAUGACUAAUAGUGAAUCUGUUGUGUCACCAGGUCCAAGAUUGUGGGAGAUCUCCACAUAACUCACACGUUUUUUUUCCAACAGUUUGAUCAGAUUUGCGAACCAAGUUCUGGGAAUACAACUUCAGAUAUAUCACAGGAGAGAGCAGUUCACUGGGCUUCCAGCUCUUACAGCAGCUGUUCUCGAAUGAUAUACUUUAUGGGCACCUCUAAAGACACCAAAGACCCUAUGAUAUUUUGAGCUUUAAGGCAGUCACUGCAGCUAUCAACUACUAUAUGCAAUUGUCUGCUUUUCGCUCUGUUUCAGUCAACCCAAAGAGGAGUGAUCGUUUCCACAUGUACAACUACCUGUAAUCAAUUAUCUGACUGCCCUAAUCAUAAUGUACAGCCAUGUGUGGUUACGAGUUGUAAAAAUAAUCAAUGCAGAUGAAUAUUUGUGCCAAUGAAUUGCCCUUAGUUAUGGCAAAGCGCACAGAAACAAGUUAACUACUGCUUCUUAUAGCAGCAGGAAGGAGUAUUGGAAUUUGAAGAUGACACCAAAUCAAGUUGCCCGCAAAAAACAUACCUCAAAAAGUUCUGCAUAGUGUUGGUUGAAGCUCAAUAAAAUGUAACCAUCUGUCUCUUAAAACUGAUUGAUCUUGAAGGGCUUAAUGGUCUUGGUGAAGUGGAUCUCUGUACACCCACAUGUGACACAUACAAGUUUAGCAAUUCUGCUGAUAUCCUUGAUAAGAUGGGGUAGUACUUUGCAUAAAAGGCAGAGACAGUAGCAAAAUUGAACUUCAUUGCAGGAUAAGUCCCUCUUGGACACAGUGGACCUGCUACUCUUUGUAAAUGACAAUGGCUAAAGGACUUGUGAGAGUGGUAUGCUUCUGUCUGCUGGUGCUCCUCCACCAGAAUGUGGUGGCUGGGUGCACCUUUCAUAACCUUGUGGGCAUCAUUUUGAAAGAAACGAAAGAUGUGAUGAAUAUGUUUAGAGAAGCAUUUGUACAUCCAAUACCCGUCAAUGUGGAGUUUGAAGAGCUUAAACCUCUGAAUGGUUCACAUCCAGGAGAAAAUCUUAUGAACAAAACUGGUUGUGGACUGAAGUACAUGAUCAAAGCCAUUAGUUUACUUAAUCAGGUCCAUUCAAGUUUCUUCUCAGGGAACGAGGACUUAAAAGGAAACCUGACUGACUUGGCCGCAGUAAUAAAUCGAAGCUGUAGAUAUUUAAACUUUACUAUGGGUGGAGGGUGUUCCAUAACAACACCUGAACCCCAACUGCCAAAAUAUUCUUUUGGGAGAAAAAGGUGGUGUCUCAGUGUAUUGCAAAGGUUUGAUGACUUUUUAUCCUCGCUGAAAGAACUACCUUGUUUGUACAAAAGAAAAGGGGGCCACACCCAUUUGUCACCAUCCCUGAAGUAUGUUACUGCU
This is a long non-coding RNA of Clupea harengus (Atlantic herring), 1656 nucleotides long. Lineage: Eukaryota; Metazoa; Chordata; Actinopteri; Clupeiformes; Clupeidae. The record is from Ensembl.